UUUCGCAAUGCCCGAAAGGGUGACGAAGCGACGCCGCGUGUGGGAAGAAGGCCUUCGGGUUGUAAACCUCUGUCGGGAGUUAGGAAAUGUAAGGGUGCUAAUAGUAUCCUUGCUUGACUAAGGCUCCGGAGGAAGCCACGGCUAACUCUGUGCCAGCAGCCGCGGUAAUACAGAGGCGGCAAGCGUUGUUCGGAAUUAUUGGGCGUAAAGAGCACGUAGGCGGCCUUGUAAGUCAGUUGUGAAAGCCUUCUGCUUAACGGAAGAACAGCAGCUGAUACUGCAAGGCUAGAGUGCGGAAGGGGAGAGUGGAACUUCUGGUGGAGCGGUGAAAUGCGUAGAUAUCAGAAGGAACACCGGCGGCGAAGGCGACUCUCUGGUCCGUAACUGACGCUGAGUGUGCGAAAGCUAGGGGAGCAAACGGGAUUAGAUACCCCGGUAGUCCUAGCCGUAAACGAUGGGCACUAAGUAGAGGGGUUUUA
Molecule: ribosomal RNA, 479 nt
Filed under: uncultured Planctomycetota bacterium
Lineage: Bacteria; Pseudomonadati; Planctomycetota
Description: bacterial SSU rRNA
Rfam family: Bacterial small subunit ribosomal RNA
Source: RNAcentral